This 468-nucleotide ribosomal RNA is filed under the name uncultured bacterium. Its description in RNAcentral is "partial 16S ribosomal RNA". It matches the Rfam family "Bacterial small subunit ribosomal RNA", at positions 28 to 507 of the family's 1533-position model. The record is from RNAcentral.
GACGAACGCUGGCGGCGUGCUUAAUACAUGCAAGUCGAACGGAAUGGCCCUGAUAUUGUGGGGUGCUCGAGUGGCAAACGGGUGAGUAACACGUGAGUAACCUGCCCAUGAAUUUGGGAUAACUUCAGGAACCUGGGGCACAUAACGGAUAGGCGCUCAUGCUGCUUGGUGGGGGUUGGAAAGUUUCGGCGGUUGGGGAUGGACUAGCGGCUUAUCAGCUUGUUGGUCGGGUGGUGGCUUACCAAGGCUUUGCCGGGUCGCUGGUCUGAGAGGGGGACCGGCCACAUUGGGACUGAGAUACGGCCCGGACUCCUACGGGAUGCAGCAGUGGGGAAGAUUGCACAAUGGGCGGAAGCCUGAUGCAGCAACGCCGCGUGCGGGAUGUCGGCCUUCGGGUUGUAGACCGCUUGCGCCUGUGACGAAGCGUGAGUGACGGUAAUGGGUAAAGAAGCACCGGCUAACUACGUG